Molecule: ribosomal RNA, 2931 nt
Filed under: Staphylococcus epidermidis
Lineage: Bacteria; Bacillati; Bacillota; Bacilli; Caryophanales; Staphylococcaceae
Description: 23S ribosomal RNA
Rfam family: Bacterial large subunit ribosomal RNA
Source: RNAcentral
AGAUUAAGUUAUUAAGGGCGCACGGUGGAUGCCUUGGCACUAGAAGCCGAUGAAGGACGUUACUAACGACGAUAUGCUUUGGGUAGCUGUAAGUAAGCGUUGAUCCAGAGAUUUCCGAAUGGGGGAACCCAGCAUGAGUUAUGUCAUGUUAUCGACAUGUGAAUUCAUAGCAUGUCAGAAGGCAGACCCGGAGAACUGAAACAUCUUAGUACCCGGAGGAAGAGAAAGAAAAAUCGAUUCCCUGAGUAGCGGCGAGCGAAACGGGAAGAGCCCAAACCAACAAGCUUGCUUGUUGGGGUUGUAGGACACUCUAUACGGAGUUACAAAAGAACAUGUUAGACGAAUCAUCUGGAAAGAUGAAUCAAAGAAGGUAAUAAUCCUGUAGUCGAAAACAUAUUCUCUCUUGAGUGGAUCCUGAGUACGACGGAGCACGUGAAAUUCCGUCGGAAUCUGGGAGGACCAUCUCCUAAGGCUAAAUACUCUCUAGUGACCGAUAGUGAACCAGUACCGUGAGGGAAAGGUGAAAAGUACCCCGGAAGGGGAGUGAAAGAGAACUUGAAACCGUGUGCUUACAAGUAGUCAGAGCCCGUUAAUGGGUGAUGGCGUGCCUUUUGUAGAAUGAACCGGCGAGUUACGAUCUGAUGCAAGGUUAAGCAGCAAAUGUGGAGCCGCAGCGAAAGCGAGUCUGAAUAGGGCGUUGAGUAUUUGGUCGUAGACCCGAAACCAGGUGAUCUACCCUUGGUCAGGUUGAAGUUCAGGUAACACUGAAUGGAGGACCGAACCGACUUACGUUGAAAAGUGAGCGGAUGAACUGAGGGUAGCGGAGAAAUUCCAAUCGAACUUGGAGAUAGCUGGUUCUCUCCGAAAUAGCUUUAGGGCUAGCCUCAAGUGAUGAUUAUUGGAGGUAGAGCACUGUUUGGACGAGGGGCCCCUCUCGGGUUACCGAAUUCAGACAAACUCCGAAUGCCAAUUAAUUUAACUUGGGAGUCAGAACAUGGGUGAUAAGGUCCGUGUUCGAAAGGGAAACAGCCCAGACCACCAGCUAAGGUCCCAAAAUAUAUGUUAAGUGGAAAAGGAUGUGGCGUUGCCCAGACAACUAGGAUGUUGGCUUAGAAGCAGCCAUCAUUUAAAGAGUGCGUAAUAGCUCACUAGUCGAGUGACACUGCGCCGAAAAUGUACCGGGGCUAAACAUAUUACCGAAGCUGUGGAUUGUCCUUUGGACAAUGGUAGGAGAGCGUUCUAAGGGCGUCGAAGCAUGAUCGCAAGGACAUGUGGAGCGCUUAGAAGUGAGAAUGCCGGUGUGAGUAGCGAAAGACGGGUGAGAAUCCCGUCCACCGAUUGACUAAGGUUUCCAGAGGAAGGCUCGUCCGCUCUGGGUUAGUCGGGUCCUAAGCUGAGGCCGACAGGCGUAGGCGAUGGAUAACAGGUUGAUAUUCCUGUACCACCUAGUAUCGUUUUAAUCGAUGGGGGGACGCAGUAGGAUAGGCGAAGCGUGCUGUUGGAGUGCACGUCCAAGCAGUAAGGCUGAGUGUUAGGCAAAUCCGGCACUCAUAAGGCUGAGCUGUGAUGGGGAGAGGAAAUUGUUUCCUCGAGUCGUUGAUUUCACACUGCCGAGAAAAGCCUCUAGAUAGAUAACAGGUGCCCGUACCGCAAACCGACACAGGUAGUCAAGAUGAGAAUUCUAAGGUGAGCGAGCGAACUCUCGUUAAGGAACUCGGCAAAAUGACCCCGUAACUUCGGGAGAAGGGGUGCUCUUUAGGGUUCACGCCCAGAAGAGCCGCAGUGAAUAGGCCCAAGCGACUGUUUAUCAAAAACACAGGUCUCUGCUAAACCGUAAGGUGAUGUAUAGGGGCUGACGCCUGCCUGGUGCUGGAAGGUUAAGAGGAGUGGUUAGCUUCUGCGAAGCUACGAAUCGAAGCCCCAGUAAACGGCGGCCGUAACUAUAACGGUCCUAAGGUAGCGAAAUUCCUUGUCGGGUAAGUUCCGACCCGCACGAAAGGCGUAACGAUUUGGGCACUGUCUCAACGAGAGACUCGGUGAAAUCAUAGUACCUGUGAAGAUGCAGGUUACCCGCGACAGGACGGAAAGACCCCGUGGAGCUUUACUGUAGCCUGAUAUUGAAAUUCGGCACAGCUUGUACAGGAUAGGUAGGAGCCUUUGAAACGUGAGCGCUAGCUUACGUGGAGGCGUUGGUGGGAUACUACCCUAGCUGUGUUGGCUUUCUAACCCGCACCACUUAUCGUGGUGGGAGACAGUGUCAGGCGGGCAGUUUGACUGGGGCGGUCGCCUCCUAAAAGGUAACGGAGGCGCUCAAAGGUUCCCUCAGAAUGGUUGGAAAUCAUUCAUAGAGUGUAAAGGCAUAAGGGAGCUUGACUGCGAGACCUACAAGUCGAGCAGGGUCGAAAGACGGACUUAGUGAUCCGGUGGUUCCGCAUGGAAGGGCCAUCGCUCAACGGAUAAAAGCUACCCCGGGGAUAACAGGCUUAUCUCCCCCAAGAGUUCACAUCGACGGGGAGGUUUGGCACCUCGAUGUCGGCUCAUCGCAUCCUGGGGCUGUAGUCGGUCCCAAGGGUUGGGCUGUUCGCCCAUUAAAGCGGUACGCGAGCUGGGUUCAGAACGUCGUGAGACAGUUCGGUCCCUAUCCGUCGUGGGCGUAGGAAAUUUGAGAGGAGCUGUCCUUAGUACGAGAGGACCGGGAUGGACAUACCUCUGGUGUACCAGUUGUCGUGCCAACGGCAUAGCUGGGUAGCUAUGUAUGGACGGGAUAAGUGCUGAAAGCAUCUAAGCAUGAAGCCCCCCUCAAGAUGAGAUUUCCCAACUUCGGUUAUAAGAUCCCUCGAAGAUGACGAGGUUAAUAGGUUCGAGGUGGAAGCGUGGUGACACGUGGAGCUGACGAAUACUAAUCGAUCGAAGACUUAAUCAAUUUUUAAA